This 464-nucleotide ribosomal RNA is filed under the name Vreelandella stevensii. RNAcentral's name for it is "partial 16S ribosomal RNA". It matches the Rfam family "Bacterial small subunit ribosomal RNA", at positions 338 to 795 of the family's 1533-position model. Lineage: Bacteria; Pseudomonadati; Pseudomonadota; Gammaproteobacteria; Oceanospirillales; Halomonadaceae. The record is from RNAcentral.
CCUACGGGGGGCUGCAGUGGGGAAUAUUGGACAAUGGGCGAAAGCCUGAUCCAGCCAUGCCGCGUGUGUGAAGAAGGCCUUCGGGUUGUAAGGCACUUUCAGUGGGGAAGAAAGCCUUGGGGCUAAUACCCUCGAGGAAGGACAUCACCAACAGAAGAAGCACCGGCUAACCCGUGCCAGCAGCCGCGGUAAUACGGUGGGUGCGAGCGUUAAUCGGAAUUACUGGGCGUAAAGCGCGCGUAGGCGGUCUGAUAAGCCGGUUGUGAAAGCCCCGGGCUCAACCUGGGAACGGCAUCCGGACCUGUCAGGCUAGAGUGCAGGAGAGGAAGGUAGAAUUCCCGGUGUAGCGGUGAAAUGCGUAGAGAUCGGGAGGAAUACCAGUGGCGAAGGCGGCCUUCUGGACUGACACUGACGCUGAGGUGCGAAAGCGUGGGUAGCAAACAGGAUUAGAUACCCGGGUAGUC